GCUUAGAAAAUCCGUUGGCUUUAUUGACCGUGAGGGUUCAAGUCCCUCUACCCCC
RNAcentral lists this transfer RNA (55 nucleotides) under Imbribryum subapiculatum. RNAcentral describes it as "Gemmabryum subapiculatum partial tRNA-Leu". Lineage: Eukaryota; Viridiplantae; Streptophyta; Bryopsida; Bryales; Bryaceae. The record is from RNAcentral.